GCGGAGCGCCGAGGCUCGCGUUCCGCCGCUGCUUCCGUCGCCGGGGCGGGCGCCGCGGUGUCCCUGCCGAGCGUGAGCCCCGAACUGUCACCGCGCCGAGCCCCAGCCUCAUCCGUCGGUGUCCGCGGUCCGAGCUUUCCCCGCCUCGCUGGCGGCCCGCGCUCUCCCCCGCCGUGCGCGUUCGCCGCUGUGGCCUGUAGCUACCUCGCCUCGCUGCUUUGUCUCCGCUGCUCUUGCCGUCCUUCCCGCGGCCUUCUGCGGGCGGGGCUGUCGGCUGUCGCUUUGCUGCUCCGCGACGGCGGCCUUGAGUCUCGCUCCCCCGGUGGGAAACGUAGAACUGGUUACUCGCCACCUUAGGCGGUGGGGUUUGAAUGAGAGCGGUGCCUCGGUAGGUCGUCAGAAAGUUACAGUCGCCCAUCUGAGCGUUUGUAAGAGAUGGAGGCAGGAGUGGUGAGGUUGAUUCUUCACCACACUGAAACCAUUAGGAAAAAUCCUUGUGGUUAACAGCAGAGGCUUCAGAGUGUAACCUGUACUCGGGCCUAGAAAUUAUUUAAAAUGGCGACUGAUACGUCUCAAGGUGAACUCGUCCAUCCUAAGGCACUCCCACUUAUAGUAGGAGCUCAGCUGAUCCACGCGGACAAGAGAGCUGAUAGUAUUCAUUCCACUCUUUUCAUAAUUGGUCAGAACAGUUAGAAAUUGCUUUUAACUAUAGUCAUGCAUUGCUUAACAAUGGGUAUACAUUCUGAGAGAUACAUCUUUAGGCGAUUUCAUCAUCGUGCCAACAUCAUAAAGUGUACUUACACAAACCUACGUGGUACAGCCUACUACAUACCUAGGCUUUAUGGGAUAGUCUGUUGCUUCUAGGCUACAAACCUGUACAGCAUGUUACUGUACUAAAUACUGUAGGCAGUUAUAACACAACGGUAAGUAUUUGUGUAUUUAAACAUAGAAAAGGUACAGUAAAAAUAUAAUAUAAAAGAUAAAAAAUGGU
This 991-nucleotide long non-coding RNA is filed under the name Homo sapiens (human). RNAcentral describes it as "non-protein coding lnc-EIF4G3-2:1". Lineage: Eukaryota; Metazoa; Chordata; Mammalia; Primates; Hominidae. The record is from RNAcentral.